GCGGGAAUAGCUCAGUUGGUAGAGCACGACCUUGCCAAGGUCGGGGUCGCGAGUUAAAGACUCGAUUCCCGAG
Molecule: transfer RNA, 73 nt
Filed under: Escherichia coli
Lineage: Bacteria; Pseudomonadati; Pseudomonadota; Gammaproteobacteria; Enterobacterales; Enterobacteriaceae
Description: tRNA-Gly
Rfam family: tRNA
About the family: Transfer RNA (tRNA) molecules are approximately 80 nucleotides in length. Their secondary structure includes four short double-helical elements and three loops (D, anti-codon, and T loops). Further hydrogen bonds mediate the characteristic L-shaped molecular structure. tRNAs have two regions of fundamental functional importance: the anti-codon, which is responsible for specific mRNA codon recognition, and the 3' end, to which the tRNAs corresponding amino acid is attached (by aminoacyl-tRNA synthetases). tRNAs cope with the degeneracy of the genetic code in two manners: having more than one tRNA (with a specific anti-codon) for a particular amino acid; and 'wobble' base-pairing, i.e. permitting non-standard base-pairing at the 3rd anti-codon position.
Source: RNAcentral